Molecule: microRNA precursor, 88 nt
Filed under: Ictidomys tridecemlineatus (thirteen-lined ground squirrel)
Lineage: Eukaryota; Metazoa; Chordata; Mammalia; Rodentia; Sciuridae
Description: Spermophilus tridecemlineatus (thirteen-lined ground squirrel) mir-544 microRNA precursor family
Rfam family: mir-544 microRNA precursor family
Source: Rfam by way of RNAcentral
AUCAUCUGGGAAUCUUGUUAAAAUGCAGAUUUAGAUUUAGCUGGGGCCUCUGAUUUUUUAUUUCUAAUAAGUUCCCAAGUGAUGCUGA